Molecule: small nucleolar RNA, 107 nt
Organism: Lathyrus oleraceus (garden pea)
Lineage: Eukaryota; Viridiplantae; Streptophyta; Magnoliopsida; Fabales; Fabaceae
Source: RefSeq, a predicted model, not a curated record
AUUCCAUGGUGGGGACAUUGUCUAAGCAGCUCCUUAAAUCUUUCCCAGGCAUCAAAUAGGGAAUCAUCGACUCGUUGUCUAAAUGAGGUUAUCUCAUUUCUCCUUUU